GCGAUUAAUACUAGGAACCUUGUGUUAUUUUUACCGGGUUUAGUAUUAAUCAUAUUUUGGCCAUAUAGCAUAUGUGUAACCCACAAUGCUAGGCAUGUUUGAGGUGGAAUGUGUUGAUUGUGUGGUGAUUAAUAUUAGGAACCUUGUGUUAUUUUACCGGGUUUAGUAUUAAUCGUAUAUUGGCCGAUAGCAUUUGUGUAAUCCACAAUGCUAGGCAUAUUGGGGUGAGUUAGUGUUCCUUCAGACCUCGUACCCGGCGGGUUCAAGGAAACCCCUUAUUCGCUGGACCGGGAAGACUCAGAUAGACGGGGUCAUGGCCUAUGGCUGAGUGAUUACACGACGGUGUAAUGUGGCAGUGACCCGAAGGACUGUGGGCUGUCGCGCGAUGACCCGAAGGACUGUGGGCUGC
Molecule: long non-coding RNA, 409 nt
Filed under: Brassica napus (rape)
Lineage: Eukaryota; Viridiplantae; Streptophyta; Magnoliopsida; Brassicales; Brassicaceae
Description: long non-coding RNA (BNAP_LNC026637)
Source: RNAcentral